Molecule: long non-coding RNA, 1003 nt
Organism: Manacus vitellinus (golden-collared manakin)
Lineage: Eukaryota; Metazoa; Chordata; Aves; Passeriformes; Pipridae
Exons: 3
Source: RefSeq, a predicted model, not a curated record
GUCCUGAUUUUAAUAUUUUGAAGGCUCUUGUCCUGAUUUUAAUUCUCUUGGUUCAAACCAUUUCCUAAUAAGUCAGUUUUAAUGAAGUGUUAAAAGGAGAACUUAAAUAAGGGUAAUUUCUGAUGGAGAAUAAUGGGAAGAAGUGGUUUAAGUUAACUAAACAUGUUUUAUAUCAGUCCAUGGUUAUUUAAUUGAGCAUUGUUUGGAAUUUUUCUUUUUGCAUUCGUUCCUGGUGUGCUUUUCUCUAUCUAAGGGAUGUUUGGAGGUCUUUUUGGUUGGUUGAAGGUUUUUAAUGUCAGUGCUGGAUUGGGGUGGACAGUCAUUGUAACAUGAUUUAGAGUUGGAUGCAUUUUAUUCUGUGUGCCCUGUUUGAUGUCUCGUGUUCAGCGAGUGACUGGUCAGAGUUUGGCCCAAGCCUUUGUUUUUCAGGUGAAAAACCCGAAGGGGGAAUUGUAGUUGCAGCUUUGCCCUUGAGCUGCAGCUGGAGCCUGGCCAAAGAACAAGGCAAAGCUCCCUGGGGAAGGAAGGGGGAGCCAGAGAAGAAAAGCAGCUGCAGCCAGAAAGUGGGAUGGAGCCUGGAAAGUGCACAGAGCUGAGCCCAGGGAUUGAAAGGGACCAAGCAAGGGAGGUGAAGAAAGAAGGAAGAAGGGAAGUGAGGCAGCAGGCAAGCAGCACCAAGUUGCUGUGUAAGCAGUGGGAUGUUCCCUAGAAAGUGCAUGGAGCUGAGCCAAGGAACUUAAAGGGACUGAGCAAGCAAAGUCAAGAAAGAAUGAAGAGGGGAACUGAGGCAGCAGCCAAGCAGCAUCAGGCUCCUCUACAACCAGGUGAGUUGUCUUGAAGUUGAUAAGGUGGUCACUGAGAACUUUGGGGGCUGCAGGCACAGGUGACCACCAGAGACCCCUGAUGGAGCCCCUCAGAGACCUUAUAAGGGUUUGUGUAGAUGGGAACAGGUGUUGGGAAUGUCCUGAAUGUGGAACAGGAAUGCAGGGAAGGAAAAUGAGCC